Molecule: ribosomal RNA, 443 nt
Filed under: uncultured bacterium
Lineage: Bacteria
Description: partial 16S ribosomal RNA
Rfam family: Bacterial small subunit ribosomal RNA
Source: RNAcentral
CCUACGGGUGGCAGCAGUGGGGAAUAUUGGGCAAUGGGCGCAAGCCUGACCCAGCAACGCCGCGUGAAGGAAGAAGGCUUUCGGGUUGUAAAAUUCUUUUAUUAGGGACGAAGCAAGUGACGGUACUUGAUGAAUAAGCCACGGCUAACUACGGGCCAGCAGCCGCGGUAAUACGGAGGUGGCAAGCGUUAUCCGGAUUUACUGGGUGUAAAGGGCGUGUAGGCGGGAGUGCAAGUCAGAUGUGAAAACUAUGGGCUCAACCCAUAGCCUGCAUUUGAAACUGUACUUCUUGAGUGCUGGAGAGGCAAUCGGAAUGCCGUGUGUAGCGGUGAAAUGCGUAGAUAUACGGAGGAACACCAGUGGCGAAGGCGGAUUGCUGGACAGUAACUGACGCUGAGGCGCGAAAGCGUGGGGAGCAAACAGGAUUAGAUACCCUUGUAGUC